This 429-nucleotide long non-coding RNA is filed under the name Dasypus novemcinctus (nine-banded armadillo). Its description in RNAcentral is "lncRNA (ENSDNOG00000050204.1)". The record is from RNAcentral. Lineage: Eukaryota; Metazoa; Chordata; Mammalia; Cingulata; Dasypodidae.
CCGCCCCGGAGCCUGACAGCUAGGUCCACUCGCCUCCAGGCCCUCGUGGGGCCCCUUGGCCAACUGGGGCUGCCCCCGGGGCCUUUGCCGUCUCAGAGGGGGUCGUGUGCUCCCAGCCCUGCGGGGCCAGCGCAGCCUGUCCACAGCCUGAUGACGCCCUGCUCUUGGGACAUUGAGGAGGCCGUGCUGAGGGCAGGCCCCGGGCAUACGGGGUCGCCGCGCAAGAGAAGGGUGUGCCCGAGAGACGGAUGGCGAGCCACACAGUGGCCAGGCAGGACCGGCUUCCGGAGUGGCUGGACGCGCUCGGACGGACGGCCAGGCCCAUCAUGGCGGACAGCGGGAGCGAGGGGCGCGCGCAGGUGCCAGGAGCCAGGCAGGUGAGGUAAGCCGGGCGGGCCGGCGGGCCGGCGCAGACAGGUGGGUGCGCCG